GACGAACGCUGGCGGCGUGCUUAACACAUGCAAGUCGAACGGAAAGGCCCUGCUUUUGUGGGGUGCUCGAGUGGCGAACGGGCGCGUGUCACGUGCGUAACCUGCCCCUGCCUUUGGGAUAACUUCAGGACAUCGGGACUAAUACCGGAUAGGAGCUUCUGCUGCAUGGUGCGGGUUGGCUAGUUGCGGCGGUUGGGGAUGGACUCGCGGCUUAUCAGCUUGUUGGUGGGGUAGUGGCUUACCAAGGCUUUGUCGGGCAGCCGGCCUGAGACUGUGACCGGGCACAUUGGGACUGAGAUACGGCCGGGACUCCUGCGGGAGGCAGCAGUAGGGGAGAAUGCACAAUGCAGGGAAGCCUGAUGCAGCAAGACCGCGUGCGGGGUGACAGCCUGCGGGUUUGAGACGACUAUCGCCGGUAACGAUGCGUUUUUGACGGUAAUGGGUGAAUAAGCACCGGCUAACUACGUG
Molecule: ribosomal RNA, 468 nt
Filed under: uncultured bacterium
Lineage: Bacteria
Description: partial 16S ribosomal RNA
Rfam family: Bacterial small subunit ribosomal RNA
Source: RNAcentral